GAUGAACGCUGGCGGCGCGCCUAACACAUGCAAGUCGAACGAUUAAAGCACCUUCGGGUGUGUAUAAAGUGGCGAACGGCUGAGUAACACGUGGGCAACCUGCCCCUCUCAUUGGGAUAGCCACGGGAAACCGUGGAUAAUACCGAAUACUUCGGGACUUCCGCAUGGAAGACUCGAGAAAGCUCCGGCGGAGAGGGAUGGGCCCGCGGCCUGUUAGCUUGUUGGUGGGGUAAUGGCCUACCAAGGCAAUGAUGGGUAGCUGGGUUGAGAGACCGACCAGCCAGAUUGGGACUGGGAAACGGCCCAGACUCCUACGGGAGGCAGCAGUGGGGAAUCUUGCACAAUGGGCGAAAGCCUGAUGCAGCGACGCCGCGUGCGGGAUGAAGGCCUUCGGGUUGUAAACCGCUUUCAGCAGGGACGAGGCGAAAGUGACGGUACCUGCAGAAGAAGCCCCGGCUAACUACGUG
Molecule: ribosomal RNA, 467 nt
Filed under: uncultured bacterium
Lineage: Bacteria
Description: partial 16S ribosomal RNA
Rfam family: Bacterial small subunit ribosomal RNA
Source: RNAcentral